This 460-nucleotide ribosomal RNA is filed under the name uncultured bacterium. Its description in RNAcentral is "partial 16S ribosomal RNA". It matches the Rfam family "Bacterial small subunit ribosomal RNA", at positions 338 to 795 of the family's 1533-position model. The record is from RNAcentral.
CCUACGGGAGGCAGCAGUGAGGAAUAUUGGUCAAUGGACGAGAGUCUGAACCAGCCAAGUAGCGUGAAGGAUGACUGCCCUAUGGGUUGUAAACUUCUUUUAUAUGGGAAUAAAAUGUUCCACGUGUGGGAUUUUGUAUGUACCCUAUGUAUAAGGAUCGGCUAACGCCGUGCCAGCAGCCGCGGUAAUACGGAGGAUCCGAGCGUUAUCCGGAUUUAUUGGGUUUAAAGGGUGCGUAGGUGGGUUGUUAAGUCAGUUGUGAAAGUUUGCGGCUCAACCGUAAAAUUGCAGUUGAAACUGGCAGUCUUGAGUACAGUAGAGGUGGGCGGAAUUCGGGGUGUAGCGGUGAAAUGCUUAGAUAUCACGAAGAACUCCGAUUGCGAAGGCGGCUUACUGGACUGAAACUGACGUUGAGGCUCGAAAGCGUGGGGAGCAAACAGGAUUAGAUACCCUUGUAGUC